UACGGAGGGUGCGAGCGUUGUCCGGAAUCAUUGGGCGGAAAGCGCGUGUAGGCGGCCCGGUAAGUCCGCUGUGAAAGUCGGGGGCUCAACCCUCGGAUGCCGGUGGAUACUGUCGGGCUCGAGUACGGAAGAGGCGAGUGGAAUUCCUGGUGUAGCGGUGAAAUGCGCAGAUAUCUGGAGGAACACCGGUGGCGAAGGCGGCAUCCUGGACCGGCAUUGACGCUGAGGCGCGAAAGCCAGGGGAGCAAACGGG
This 253-nucleotide ribosomal RNA is filed under the name uncultured bacterium. RNAcentral's name for it is "partial 16S ribosomal RNA". It matches the Rfam family "Bacterial small subunit ribosomal RNA", at positions 524 to 776 of the family's 1533-position model. The record is from RNAcentral.